GGCCCCGUAGCUCAGAGGAUAGAGCACCGGCCUUCUAAGCCGAUGGUCGCAGGUUCGAAUCCUGCCGGGGUCG
This is a transfer RNA of Aurantimonas sp. Leaf443, 73 nucleotides long. It matches the Rfam family "tRNA". From Rfam's summary of the family: Transfer RNA (tRNA) molecules are approximately 80 nucleotides in length. Their secondary structure includes four short double-helical elements and three loops (D, anti-codon, and T loops). Further hydrogen bonds mediate the characteristic L-shaped molecular structure. tRNAs have two regions of fundamental functional importance: the anti-codon, which is responsible for specific mRNA codon recognition, and the 3' end, to which the tRNAs corresponding amino acid is attached (by aminoacyl-tRNA synthetases). tRNAs cope with the degeneracy of the genetic code in two manners: having more than one tRNA (with a specific anti-codon) for a particular amino acid; and 'wobble' base-pairing, i.e. permitting non-standard base-pairing at the 3rd anti-codon position. NCBI's taxonomy places the organism in Bacteria, Pseudomonadati, Pseudomonadota, Alphaproteobacteria, Hyphomicrobiales, Aurantimonadaceae. The record is from Rfam.